CGCAAUUUACAUUUAAAGCAUUUAAAUUUCAGUCUUUUAAAGCUUUCUAUGCAUGCUCUGCAGACUGAUCUGUAUCAGAUCUGCCAUAUAAAUUGUACGUUCCUCUGAGGCAAAGAGACCAGAUCUCGAUCCUCAGUUGUAAAAUCUUCUCUUCUCCCUCCAUUCCUUCAGAGCACCAUUUCCGGGAACCGGAUCUGGUACUGUGUUUGUACCCAAGCCUUUAGAUGUAUGUGUUGCUAGGCUUGCUAAAGAAUUUAAUAAAGAUUUGGUAAAUUGUUUAAAAUCUGACAACCGCGUUUAAAGAACUUAAUUAUUAUUUGGUAAAGCAAAAUUAAGUUGGUAUAUCGGCUGGAAACCCGAACGUGCGGGCUAUUGAUCUGUUCUAAGUCAGAUCUGGGUCCAAAGGUAGAUUCCCUUCUGCAUCGAUCUGGUUUAACAACGCCACGUACUAAUUUAAUAAAUAUAAAACCUGACCAACCGCGAUCCAAAGCAAAUCUACUUAAUCGAAAGUUGGUAACUGAAUUUAAAAUUUGAACAACCGCGAUCCAAUUUGUUUUUAUCUAAAGCAAUCAAUAAAGAAUUAUUUCGAAAACACAUCCAUCCUUCGAUCCUAUUAA
Molecule: long non-coding RNA, 617 nt
Filed under: Citrus x clementina
Lineage: Eukaryota; Viridiplantae; Streptophyta; Magnoliopsida; Sapindales; Rutaceae
Description: Citrus clementina (C. clementina) long non-coding RNA (CCLE_LNC005407)
Source: RNAcentral